RNAcentral lists this small RNA (551 nucleotides) under Pongo abelii (Sumatran orangutan). RNAcentral describes it as "processed transcript". The record is from RNAcentral. Lineage: Eukaryota; Metazoa; Chordata; Mammalia; Primates; Hominidae.
GUGUAGCGAUGUGUGUGGGGUUCGGAGCGGCGCCGGCACAGCCGAAGGGAGCGGGCGAGCGGCGACGGCGGCGGCGGGCACAGGUGCGGCUCCGGCUCACGGCGGGGACGCGGCGGAGGCGGCGGGAGGCCAGAGGCGCUCACCCUCCUGGGAGCCCGACGGCGGCGACAGGGGCGAUUAAUUAAAAGAAGAAUGAACUAUAAUCCUUGAAGAUAACUGGGCAAUUUUUUAAGUCGGAGGCUGUUCUUACUGGUGUGAGGAUUUACACACGUCUUCAGUUUUUCAGCACAGACCAGCAUACCAUCAUUUUUAGAGGAAGUACUCCCUCUGCCCUCCUUUUUGGUUUCCUUGGUGGUAAAGAUUAAAUUUGGUUGCAUCAUUUUGACUUGUGUUUGAGUCUAGAUUUUAUGGCACAAGGAAUGGCAUAAACUUUUCAUGUGUUUUGCUUAAAACAAACCAGACCAUUGCAUUGACCCUGGACAUCUUUAAUUGAGAAAUUGGUAACUUUAUUUUAAUAUGUAUAUCUGAAGAAUUCAAGAAAACAAAGCCAU